CUUUGUUUUACUUUUGGUUGUGAUUUUUUUUAAAACAAUUGUUAAUCGCAUCAUGUUUAUGUGGCAGGAAAACAUAAUUAUGGUCGUGGUCAUUCGUGAUUUAUUGAAUCACUGUGAAAUCACAAAGGGUAAAGAUAACAAGGCAGUUAUUGUAUGUUUUUCGACAGUAUCCUCGGAUUUUAAGAGCUCACUGGAGGUUUCUAAAAGCUGUGUGUAUGCCCUAUCUUUUUCUUUGUGUUAUUUAUCUUUGUCUCUCUGUUUGUCUUUAAUUGUGUGUGAGUGUUUUUUUUGUCUAUCUAUGUUUUGAUUUGUUUGUGUUUGUGGCCGUUUGUUUGUGUCUUUAUCUUUGUGGUUGUAUCUCCCGCACUCCCUCUAUAUGAGUGUGACCUUGUUGGUUUGUGUAUGUGUGUUCAUGUUUAUGUUUAUGGGCAUUGUGCCUGUGUGCUCUGCAUUUGUGUGCCCUGUUUCUGUACUAUGUGCUCCGUGUCUUUGUUUGUCUUUGAGUCCAUGUGUGUGCAUGCUGUGUUUUCUCUUAGUUUGUAUGUGCGUGCAUCUGUAGUUUUUAUGUUUACAGGCGGCAGCCCUUCAGUUUCUUGAGGCAUGUUCACAUGGUUCAAGUGAGGAACCAGGAAGUAUCUGUAAUAUGGCAAAACUGAAUCCUGACUUACUUCUAAGUUACUUGUGAGGCAUCUCUAACAAAAUUUCCCCCGUGUUUAGGCAUUCAUACAGAAUUUGGCACUGUUCUUCACUUUAUUUUACAAGGCAGGUUCACAUUCGAAUUCUAGAAUCCACUCAAGAGAAUAAAGCUGCUUUGCUUUUUGGGUCUUGAAUAUCUUGUCAACAUCUCAUAUGUUGGUGAUACCGAGGAUUUUAAGAAGGGAAUGGGAAUAUAGUCCGUGAAACAUACUUUUGGUCGUGGUCAUUCGUGAUUUAUUUAAUCACUGUGAAAUCACAAAGGGUAAAGAUAACAAGGUAGUUAUUGUAAGUAAUAUCAUGCAAGGGAUGGUUUUGUAUUGAUUUGCUCGAUGUUAUACCUUUGUUGAAUAGUGUACCAGUGCUUAUGUUGGCAGGUAUGUUUUUGACAGUAUCCUCGGAUUUUAUGAGCUCACUGGAGGUUUCUAAAAAUUGUGUGUAUGCCCUAUCUUUUUCUUUGUGUGAUUUAUCUUUAUCUCUCUGAUUGUCUUUAAUUGUGUAUGAGUGUUUUUUUUGUCUUUCUAAGUUUUGAUGUGUUUGUAUUUGUGGCCGUUUGUUUGUGUCUUUAUCUUUGUGUUUGUAUCUUCCGCACUCCCUCUGUAUGAUUGUGACCUUGUUGGUUUGUGUCUGUGUGUUCUUGUUUAUGUUUAUGGGCACUAUGCCUGUGCUCUGUGUGCUCUGCGUUUGUGUGCUCUAUGUCUGUGUGCUCUGUGUCUGUACUCUAUGCUCCGUGUCUUUGCUUGCCUUUGAGUCCAUGUGUGUGCUUGUUGUGUUUUCUUUUUGUUUCUAUGUGCGUGUAUCUGUAUUUUUUAUGUUCAUAGGUGGCAACCCUUCAGUUUGGGAACACUAUGAAUAUUCUUGAGGCAUAUUCAGAUGGUUCAAGUGAGGAACCAGCAUUCAUACAAAAUUUGGCAAUGUUCUUCACCUUAUUUUACAAGGCAGGUGGUAUGACCCAAGAUCUGCAUAAGUGUAAAAUUAAUGUCACGUCGAACGCGCCUUCAAGGUGUCGGGGGUGGUUUCAAUCAAUGGUUUUUGUCUCAUCCAUGCAUGGAUGUAAGAUUUGUCACGUAAGGUGUGAGGAGAGAGAAUCGUCUUAAGUUGAAAUCAUGUCAAGCGUAAUUUGAAUGGUUCUAGACAUAAGGAGAGUCUCGUGUUGAAAUAAUGUCAACGUAAUUUCAAUGACGUUGAACAUGAGAAGAGAGAACCAUCUCGAGUUGAAAUCACAUCGAGUACCAAUGGAGUGGCACCGAAAGUGAGUUGUGUGGAGACCCCUACAUGUUGGGGUUGGGCAUGGGCUCUUGCCACACUAGGUGUGAAAAGGUGGGAGACUCUUUGUCUUAACCACACCGAGUGCAGGUAGUUUGGUGCCGAAUGUGGGUGAUUUGCAUCAAUGGUGUUGGGCAUCCUUUGAGUGGCAAUGGAUGCGAGUUGUAUGAUGAAAAUUUUGUGUUUAUAUAUAGAUGUUUUAUUGUUGAAUGGUGAUCAACGAGUUAUAAGUAUGAUGAUGUAUGAUAAGGAAUCUAUAUGUUGUAAGUUGAUAAGUUGAAUGUUGGUAAUUAUGUUGUAAAGUUGCAAGUUGAUAAAUGAUAAAGUUGUAUAAGGUAUAUGUUGCUAAA
Molecule: non-coding RNA, 2309 nt
Organism: Cajanus cajan (pigeon pea)
Lineage: Eukaryota; Viridiplantae; Streptophyta; Magnoliopsida; Fabales; Fabaceae
Source: RefSeq, a predicted model, not a curated record